This 2682-nucleotide long non-coding RNA is filed under the name Brassica napus (rape). RNAcentral's name for it is "long non-coding RNA (BNAP_LNC000715)". The record is from RNAcentral. Lineage: Eukaryota; Viridiplantae; Streptophyta; Magnoliopsida; Brassicales; Brassicaceae.
AGGUGUGUAAGAAAACAAACAUUCUUUACUCCAAAAAGUUCUCUUACCAUGUUGCUAAUGUUUUUGUCACUUAACAAAUGGCAGGAGGCAGUAAUGCCAGCAAGUAAGAGAUCAAAGUACCUUGAAUCAGAGAGUUCUGAGUAUGAAAAUGUUAUUGACUUCUACAUAAGCUCAAGAAGCGAUGUGUUUGUUCCAGCCAUAUCUGGUUUGUUCUAUGCAAACACAGUUGGGAAAAGGAUAGCUUUGGGUAAGCCUCAAGUGCUAGUUCCAGCAGAGAUCUCUGAGACUUCUUCCCUUGCUACAGAUUUCAUCUCUCCUUACAUCUCAAAGAAGAACCACUUGGCUUAUUCAUGCUUUUGCUGAACCUUGUCACCUUUUCUAAAGUGAUCUCUCCAAACAUGGGCUUUCUCAGUUUUCACCAAGUGUAAGCUAUAUUUAAUUUGAUGUUUUCUCUGUUUUUCUUUAUUUAAGGUUGCCUUGUGUAGGAAAGAAAACAAUUGAGGUUUACAAUUUGAUUUUGUUGGCUUAUAUCCUUUUGCAUUUUAUAUAUUUUGUUCAAUAGUAUGAAACACACAAUAUUUGUUUGUAAGACUGAUUUUAGUGUGGAGGGUUUCUGAUGAAGGAAGAAUAACCAUGUGAUCUUUUACUAUGUCCAUUGGUCCUUAAAUCUAGUGAUGCCAUGUGAAAAGUAGAUUGAGCUUGUUUACAGACAGAGAGCAAAGAGUUGUGGUUGGUAUGAACACAGAGAAUCCUCCAUGUUAAACAACACUUUUUGAAAACCCAAAGACUGAGCCAAACUCCCAUUAGUACAACCCCAAAUCAAAUUCAAUUCAAAGUUGCACCUUUACAUCAUACAAAAAAAAAUCUGAAAAAAGGGACAAAAGAAUUGGAUACAUUUGUAAUAUACUAUUACCAUUUAAAAGAAAGAAAGAAAGGUUUAGCCAUUGUCACUUGUUAUUGCUUCUGUAGUUGCAGUAUGAGGAAGAUGAAUAUCUCUAGUAAUGUGUUUAUGCACUUCUUGAGGCUCUGUAUUUACGGAAGGGUUUCUUGAAGUAGACGCUCAUCGGAGUCCUGGGUACAGGAAUCAGCUUCCCAACAACUGCUAGUGGCCAGCUGCAGAGAGACAACAAAUUAGUGAUAUUUAUGGUUUCUACAUUUCAUUUCAAGUUGGAAAAAAAUGGACAUACCUGACAAGUCCAAUAACAAUAGAAGCAAGCCAUAGCUGCCAACUCAGUGCAACUGUAUGAGCAAACUCUCCAAGGAAAGUAACAAUGAUUAUCUGCAUUUUCAACCACAAGAGUUUACUAUCAUAUGCUAUCAAGUGUCAAAAGACUUUUGUGUUAUUGUCUUACCUGAAGUACAAAAGUGACUCCAACAAUUGCAACAAAGAGAGGGUUCUUAGAUACUCCACUGAAAACAUUCAUUUCAUCAGGUUUCCUUGCGUUGAACUCGUUGAAUAUCUGAAAGACUUGCAUGAUUAAACCCAAUUCCAUAUGAUUUAAAGAAUAAGGAGAUGAUAAAGAGGAGAUGGUUUGCUUACUUGACACAUAACAAAUGCAUUGAAUAUCAUAGUGUUCUUCACUUCCACAGCAUGUGCAUGGUUGCUGUCUUGGCUCAAGCCAAGCACGCUCAAGCCUGCAAAGUUAAGAACUAGGAGGACAGCCACUUGGUAAAAUGACUGCAACAUCCCCCAAAAUUAUAAUUUCAGCAAUAUGCACUCUACAAAAUGUUUUAGUAAUAAAUCAACAUCGACCUUAGAAUCGAAGCACUCGAGAAGAAAAAUUGUCAUUCAACUGGUGUGGGAGGGUCCAAGACUUGUUACAACGCACAAGAGAUUGCUGUGUUCUUGAGGAAGCUUGGAUUUGCUGGUGACACAACCAUCUAUCUGACUCAGCCUAGAUGGGACAGUAGCCUCAAUAUCCUUAAGGAUAUCUUCCCAAAAACGUUUACAAAGGUGUGUAAGAAAACAAACAUUCUUUACUCCAAAAAGUUCUCUUACCAUGUUGCUAAUGUUUUUGUCACUUAACAAAUGGCAGGAGGCAGUAAUGCCAGCAAGUAAGAGAUCAAAGUACCUUGAAUCAGAGAGUUCUGAGUAUGAAAAUGUUAUUGACUUCUACAUAAGCUCAAGAAGCGAUGUGUUUGUUCCAGCCAUAUCUGGUUUGUUCUAUGCAAACACAGUUGGGAAAAGGAUAGCUUUGGGUAAGCCUCAAGUGCUAGUUCCAGCAGAGAUCUCUGAGACUUCUUCCCUUGCUACAGAUUUCAUCUCUCCUUACAUCUCAAAGAAGAACCACUUGGCUUAUUCAUGCUUUUGCUGAACCUUGUCACCUUUUCUAAAGUGAUCUCUCCAAACAUGGGCUUUCUCAGUUUUCACCAAGUGUAAGCUAUAUUUAAUUUGAUGUUUUCUCUGUUUUUCUUUAUUUAAGGUUGCCUUGUGUAGGAAAGAAAACAAUUGAGGUUUACAAUUUGAUUUUGUUGGCUUAUAUCCUUUUGCAUUUUAUAUAUUUUGUUCAAUAGUAUGAAACACACAAUAUUUGUUUGUAAGACUGAUUUUAGUGUGGAGGGUUUCUGAUGAAGGAAGAAUAACCAUGUGAUCUUUUACUAUGUCCAUUGGUCCUUAAAUCUAGUGAUGCCAUGUGAAAAGUAGAUUGAGCUUGUUUACAGACAGAGAGCAAAGAGUUGUGG